UUGAUUUAUUUGAGCUUUGAUCAGCUCAAUUUCUCUGGAAUUGUAAUCUGGGAAGCUGCCUAUGGAUUGAUUUUUGGGCUUCAUUUUAUGUGGGUUUUGGAUUGUGAUUGUGUUGUUGAUGCUGUGUGGCUGAAUAAGGUUUCUUGAAUCUUGAACUUGUGCUUUUGAUGAGCCUGGUUAUUGUUUUGCACAACGUGGCUUUUAGCAGGUUUAAAUUGAAUGUUUAUAAUUUUAAUUUUUUGGAUUGCGAUAAGAAUCAUAAGAUUUUGGUUUUGGUUUACUAAUGCUUGUUAGUGUAUUUAUUGGAUGACCAAACUUAUGUAGUAAGUUCCAAUAUGAUUAAAAAAUAUGUAAAAAAUUUGGCUGUGAAUUGUAAUUCUCUUGAGUCCUGGCAUGUUUUUUGUGAUAUUAGUUUUCUAACUUGGAUUAUGGUAAUGUUUGACUAUACAUGAUGCAUGUAGAAUUUUUCAGAAAUUCACUGUUAUGAUAUUGAUCGUAUUUUACAUUAGUAAUAAUGUUUACUAGUUUAGUCGUGAGAUAGUAGUUAGGGUGCAACCUUGGUAAAUGUAGAUAGAACUAGAAGAGUACAUAAUAUCAUGAAAAUUAUGCAAGGAUCCAG
RNAcentral lists this unclassified non-coding RNA (619 nucleotides) under Hevea brasiliensis (rubber tree). The record is from RNAcentral. Lineage: Eukaryota; Viridiplantae; Streptophyta; Magnoliopsida; Malpighiales; Euphorbiaceae.